CACUCCUGCGGGAAGCAGCAGUGGGGAAUAUUGGACAAUGGGCGCAAGCCUGAUCCAGCCAUGCCGCGUGAGUGAUGAAGGCCCUAGGGUUGUAAAGCUCUUUCACCGGUGAAGAUAAUGACGGUAACCGGAGACGAAGCCCCGGCUAACUUCGUGCCAGCAGCCGCGGUAAUACGAAGGGGGCUAGCGUUGUUCGGAUUUACUGGGCGUAAAGCGCACGUAGGCGGACUAUUAAGUCAGGGGUGAAAUCCCGGGGCUCAACCCCGGAACUGCCUUUGAUACUGGUAGUCUUGAGUUCGAGAGAGGUGAGUGGAAUUCCGAGUGUAGAGGUGAAAUUCGUAGAUAUUCGGAGGAACACCAGUGGCGAAGGCGGCUCACUGGCUCGAUACUGACGCUGAGGUGCGAAAGCGUGGGGAGCAAACAGGAUGAGAAACCCCUGUAGUCCCAUGAU
This 451-nucleotide ribosomal RNA is filed under the name uncultured organism. RNAcentral describes it as "partial 16S ribosomal RNA". It matches the Rfam family "Bacterial small subunit ribosomal RNA", at positions 334 to 801 of the family's 1533-position model. The record is from RNAcentral.